CAAGCGGUGGAGCAUGUGUUUUAAUUCGAUGAUACGCGAGGAACCUUUCCAAGGCUUAAAUGGGGAUUGACCGAUUUGGAAACAGAUCUUUCGCAAGACAAAUUACAAGGUGCUGCAUGGUUGUCGUCAAGCUCGUGCCGUGAGGUGUCAGGUUAAGUCCUAUAACGAGCGCAACCCCUGUCGUUAGUUGCCAGCGAGUCAUGUCGGGAACUCUAAACGAGACUGCCAGUGUAAACUGUGAGGAAGGUGGGGAUGACGUCAAAUCAUCACGGCCCUUACGCCUUGGGCCACACACGUGCUACAAUGGCCAGUACAGAGAGCAGCCACUUAGUGAUAAGGAGCGAAUCUUCAAAACUGGUCUCAGUUCGGAUCGGAGUCUGCAACUUGACUCCGUGAAGCUGGAAUCGCUAGUAAUCGGAUAUCAGCCAUGAUCCGGUGAAUAGUUCCCGGGCCUUGUACACACCGCC
RNAcentral lists this ribosomal RNA (467 nucleotides) under uncultured Bacteroidota bacterium. RNAcentral's name for it is "bacterial SSU rRNA". It matches the Rfam family "Bacterial small subunit ribosomal RNA", at positions 926 to 1394 of the family's 1533-position model. Lineage: Bacteria; Pseudomonadati; Bacteroidota. The record is from RNAcentral.